This 498-nucleotide ribosomal RNA is filed under the name uncultured bacterium. RNAcentral's name for it is "bacterial SSU rRNA". It matches the Rfam family "Bacterial small subunit ribosomal RNA", at positions 1 to 507 of the family's 1533-position model. The record is from RNAcentral.
AGUCACGAGUUUGAUCAUGGCUCAGGAUGAACGCUAGCGGCAGGCCUAAUACAUGCAAGUCAAGGGGCGUCUUUCGGGGAGCACCGGCGGACGGGGUGCGUAACGCGUACACAACGUACCUCAGAGGCGGGGGAUAGCAUACGGGAAACUGGUGGUAAUACCCCAUGGUGUUGAGAGAUGGCAUCUAUUUUCAACUAAAGGUUACACUCUGAGAUCGGUGUGCGUCUGAUUAGCUAGUUGGCGGGGUAACGGCCCACCAAGGCGACGAUCAGUAGGGGGUGUGAGAGCAUGACCCCCCACAUGGGUACUGAGACACGGACCCAACUCCUACGGGAGGCAGCAGUAAGGAAUAUUGGACAAUGGGCGCAAGCCUGAUCCAGCCAUGCCGCGUGAAGGAUGAAGGCGCUCAGCGUUGUAAACUUCUUUUGGACGGGAACAAUACCCCUGAUGCGUCAGGGCUUGAGGGUACCGUCAGAAUAAGCACCGGCUAACUCCGUG